This 444-nucleotide ribosomal RNA is filed under the name uncultured bacterium. RNAcentral's name for it is "bacterial SSU rRNA". It matches the Rfam family "Bacterial small subunit ribosomal RNA", at positions 954 to 1392 of the family's 1533-position model. The record is from RNAcentral.
GCUAAACGCGAAGAACCUUACCGGGGCUUGACAUCUUUCUGACCGCCUGGGAAACCAGGUCUUCUUCCUUCGGGAAGACGGAAAGACAGGUGGUGCAUGGUUGUCGUCAGCUCGUGUCGUGAGAUGUUGGGUUAAGUCCCGCAACGAGCGCAACCCCUACUAUUAGUUGCCACCAGGUUAUGCUGAGCACUCUAAUAGGACUGCCUACGCAAGUAGUGAGGAAGGUGGGGAUGACGUCAAGUCCGCAUGGCCCUUACGCCUAGGGCUACACACGUGCUACAAUGGGUGUUACAAUGGGUUGCUAAGCCGCAAGGUGGAGCCAAUCCUUUAAAAGCAUCCUCAGUUCGGAUUGGAGUCUGAAACUCGACUCUAUGAAGUUGGAAUUGCUAGUAAUCGUGGAUCAGCACGCCACGGUGAAUACGUUCCCGGGUCUUGUACACACCG